Capsicum annuum is the source of this 1211-nucleotide long non-coding RNA. RefSeq lists it as uncharacterized. Lineage: Eukaryota; Viridiplantae; Streptophyta; Magnoliopsida; Solanales; Solanaceae. The transcript has 4 exons. The record is from RefSeq and is a predicted model, not a curated record.
CGUUGUCUUAUUCCAUAUGGAAUAGGAUAAGAUUUUUAAAUAUAAUAACAUUAUUUAUUUUUAAUUUACUAUAUUAUUAUGUUCUAUGAAAUUACUGUUUGAUCUUGUGUUGUAGAUUUAAGCCAGAUGCUGGAGUUGGAAAAAUUGCAUCUAAACACAUUUGCGGGCACUUCAACGGCUACUGGACCAGUUGGCAAAAGGUUUCAAAAAAGACAGAGAACAAAUGUUUAAAGAAUUUCAUAAAUAUUACUGGUGGGAUGACGCGAAUGAAUAUGCUAUAAGGAGGAAUUUUUAUUGAAGAGCUAGAUCCAUAUUUAACGGUCUGUUGGAUUAUGCCAGAACCAACAUGGUACGACCAAGGUUUAUACUCGAACUCAUAUGGAAAAAGUAUAUUCGCUAUUGGAGCAGCGAAGAAUACCAAUUGUUGAGUGACAAAGAAAAGAAAGCUCGGGCAUCAUCCAAGGGUAGCUCUCUACAUACUGCGGGUGCAAUUAGUAUGAUUGUUGUGGAGGAAAAAAUGGAAAAACAAAAGGGUAGGAAGGUAACACACGAUUAGCUAUUCGAGGAGACGCGUGUGAAAAAGAAAAAGAACCCAACUGGUGAAGAUGUCUGGGUUAAGCCUCGUGCAAAAGCUGCCCAUGACAAAUAUAUGCAGCUCGUUAGUGAGUAUCGUAGUACUCAGCCUCCUGAAACUCAAGGUGAACCAAUACCUGAACAUGUAGAGGAGGAUUUAUGGCAAGAAACUGUGGGUCCUGCAGUUAGAGGCCGUUACUACGGAUACCACAGAAAUUAUUUUGGCGAGAAUGUUAGGUCUUCGUCCGUCCCUACAUCCUAUACCUCAUCAGUUGAUAGAGAAAUCAUUGAAUCACUAAAAAAUACGAUUUCUAAACUCACUGAAGAGGGCGCAGAAGAAGGAGGAGGAAACAACAUCACAAAUCAGGAAGCUGCAGGAGCAAUUCAGCUCUUUCAUUCAAUCUGCAGGGAUUCUUCCUCUAUGUCCUGGUGAUGCAAUUCGGGCUGCAAAAGGUCUAGGCCCACUGGAUGAUAUCAGCACAGAUGAGGAAUCAGAUCCUCUAUGUGCGGCUGAGGACGCGAACGACGAAGACGAUGAUGAUGAGUGGUAGUUUUUUUACUUUUGUAUGUGUUGUAGUUUGGAUUUGGAGAUGAGUUGUAGUUUUUACACUUUCGUAUGUUUUUUGACUUGUAUUGCA